Amblyraja radiata (thorny skate) is the source of this 4722-nucleotide long non-coding RNA. RefSeq lists it as uncharacterized. The record is from RefSeq and is a predicted model, not a curated record. Lineage: Eukaryota; Metazoa; Chordata; Chondrichthyes; Rajiformes; Rajidae. The transcript has 2 exons.
CUCGGCAGAGGUCGUGAAUUAGUUUGUGAAUGUGGGACAGGCCCUUUACACUAUUAUCGAACGUGUACUCCAUCUUCCCUGGGAGUGUGUGUGUGUGUGUGUGUGUGUGUGAUGGGACUGUGUACAGGAAGCUUCACUCAGUGUUUACCACUCUGGGAGUGUGUGAUGGUGCGGGGUAGAGGGAGUGUCACUCUAUUGAAUCUUUACUCUAUGUGCGCUGGGAGUGUAUUGGGACAGUGUAGAGGGAGCUUAAUCAGUAUCUAAAUGUUGUUGUCCCUGCGCUGGUGAUGUUUAAUGGGACAGUGUAUAGAGGGUGCUUUAUUCUGUGUCGACAUUGAAGUCACUGCCCUCAAUGUGUAAUGGGAUGGAGUAGAGGCAGCUUCACUCUGUAUCUAACCUGACCCACUCCAGGUGUGGGAGUGAGUGUGUAAUGGGAUGGUGUUGAGGCAGCUUCACUCUGUAUCUAACCUGACCCACUCCAGGUGUGGGAGUGAGUGUGUAAUGGGAUGGUGUAGAGAGAGGCAGCUUCACUCUGUAUCUAACCUGACCCACUCCAGGUGUGGGAGUGAGUGUGUGACGGAUGGCAGUGUAGAGGCAGCUUCACUCUGUAUCUAACCUGACCCACUCCUGGUGUGGGAGUAAGUGUGUAAUGGGAUGGUGUCGGGGCAGCUUCACUCUGUAUCUAACCUGACCCACUCCAGGUGUGGGAGUGAGUGUGUAAUGGGAUGGUGUAGAGAGAGGCAGCUUCACUCUGUAUCUAACCUGACCCACUCCAGGUGUGGGAGUGAGUGUGUAAUGGGAUGGUGUAGAGAGAGGCAGCUUCACUCUGUAUCUAACCUGACCCACUCCUGGUGUGGGAGUAAGUGUGUAAUGGGAUGGUGUCGGGGCAGCUUCACUCUGUAUCUAACCUGACCCACUCCAGGUGUGGGAGUGAGUGUGUGACGGAUGGCAGUGUAGAGGCAGCCUCACUCUGUAUCUACCCUGACCCACUCCUGGUGUGGGAGUGAGUGUGUAAUGGGAUGGUGUCGGGGCAGCUUCACUCUGUAUCUAACCUGACCCGUAUGUGGUCAGGAAGUAUUUAAUGAAGAGUGUUGACCAGGCUUCCUGCCAUGGUUUCUGCAGCAAGAGGUGCUAGAUGCUAGUGGACUGAGUAGUGUCAAACACUGACACCACUAAUAUCUUAUGGAAUUACAGUGCGUGAAUCCAUUCAGCCACACGAUCGCUUCACAAGCUGCCUGCUCGUACCAGUCAGGGUAAAUCGUGCAGAAGAAACCGGGGGAAUGAUUGGGAAGGAACUGCAGAUGCUGGUUUACACCGAAGAUAGACACACAAUGCUGGAGUAACUCAGCGGGACAGGCAGCAUCUCUGGAGAGAAGGAAUGGGUGACGUUUUGGGUUGAAACAAUCUGAAGAAGGGUCUCGACUCGAAACAUUGCCCAUCCCUUCUCUCCAGAGAUGCUGCCUGUCCCACUGAGUUACUCCAGUACUUUGUGUCCAUCUCCGUGGGGGGUGGCCGUGCUUUCGGCUCCAUGGAAUAGCAGCACCAGCUCUCUGCCGGGUUGGUUUAACGAGGUAACCUCAGCAUUGUGGUGUUUGACUGUAUUCUGCUACAGAGACCGGAGAACAAAGAGAGAUUGCUCUGACCCCACCCGUGCAAGUACCAGUGCAGUCAAGUUUAUUCCCCUUCACACAGGUCCGAUGAAGUACAGCAGCAAUGAACAAUACCAUCGCAGGCACAGAGACAACACGUAGAAUUAUAAAUUUCACAUCAAUUCUGCAAGGAAGCAAAAAGCAAAAAGAUUCAGCACAAAAAACCACAGCAAGACACGGUGAGAACCGGUUGUCUGUUGCUGAGGUAGGAUUAGGGUUGUGUGGGUCGUUUCAAGAACCUGUUGGUUGCUGGAAAGAAGCUGUUCCUGAACCUGGUGGUGUGGGACUUCAGGCUUCUGUAUCUCCUGCUCAACGGUAGCAAUGGGAAGUGGGCACGGCUGGGAUGGUGAGGAUCCUUGAUGAUAGAUGAGGCAGCGACUGGUGGAGAUGCUGUCGAUGGUGGGGAGAGCUGUGCCCAUGAUAGACCGGGCUGAGUCCACCACUCCCUGCAGCUUCCUGUGUUCCUGUGCAUUGCAAUGGCCGUACCAGACCUGUACUGCACCAAGUAUAGUUUAGAGAUACAGUGCAGAAAAAAGCCCUACGGCCCACCGAGUCUGCACCGACCAGCGAUCCCCACACACUAACACUAUCCUACACACGCUCGGGACAAUUUACAAUUAUACUGAAGCCAAUUAGCCUACAAACCUGUACGUCCUUGGAGUGUGGGAGGAAACCGGGUCACCUGUAGAAAAUCCACGCAGGUCACAGGGAGAAUGUACAAACUCCGUGCAGACAGCACCCAAAGUCAGGAUCGAACCCGUGUCUCUGGCGCUGUGAGGCAGCUACUACCGCUGCACCAUCGUGCCACCAAGGUACGCUACCAAUCAGUCUUUGGUGACGUGUCAAUCUCUUUAAACUUCCCAGACAGUAGAUGGCUGUGGCUUCAACACAAGGCUGUCUUAAAGCAAAAAGAAUGAUGGGGGUCAGAGUCUGUUGGCCACCUGGUGGUGGUGGUGGUUGUCUGGUGGUGGUGGUGUGCGUUGGUCUUGGGCUGCAGGUACAUCCAUGGUGCUACAAGGUCCAUGGUCAGGGGUGAGAGACCAGUGACACUCUUCUGUGUCAUGGAGGUGAAUGACCCUGAGACUGAAUCAGUUUAGUUUAUUGUCACCUGUGCCGAGGUACGGUGAAAAGCGUGCUACGUGUUUGUUAUGUGCUAACCAGUCAGUGGAAAGUCAAUGCAUGAUUACAUUCGAGCCAUACAGUAUACGGUGUACUGUUUAGUGCAAGGUAAAGCCAGCAAAGUCCGAUCAAGGAUAGUCUGAGGGUAACCAAAGUGGUGGGUAGUAGUUCAGCCACUGCUCUCUGGUUGUGGUGGGAUGGUUCAGUUGCCUGAUAACAGCUGGGAAGAAACUGUCCCUGAAUCUGGAGGUAAUGUUGUACCUUCUGUAGAUGGGACCACACCUGGAGUACAGUGUGCAUUUCUGCUCGCCUUGCUGUAGGAAGGACGUCAUUAAACUGCAGGGUGAUCAGUUAGGAUAUACGACUAUGUUACCAGGACUUGCUCAACAACACUCCCCAGGGCCCUACCAUGCACUUUGUAGUUAGACACACACAGCUGGAGUAACACAGGCAGCAUCUCUGGAGAGAGGAAUGGGUGAUGUUUCAGGUUGAGACCCUUCAGGCUGUGUAGGUCCUGCCCAUGUUAGACUUCUCCAAAUGCAAACCCCUCACAUUUCUAUGUAUUAAAUUCCGUCAGCUCGCAAGACCAACCAAUCAAGAUCCUGUUGUAAUUAUUCACAACUAUCUGCAAAACUCCCCCACUUUUGUAUUAUCAGCAAACUUGCUAAUCCUGUAUGUUCGCAUCCAAAUCAUUGAUGUAGAUGACAAACAGUAACAGGCCCAGCACUGAACCCUGAGUCACAGGUGAUCUUAUAGAGGUGUGUAAAAUCAUUGGGUGACAUUUUUUCUCGAUAGGAGAGACUAGAAGUGGAGGGAAGAGAUUUAAAAGGGAUUAGAGGGCCAACUGUUCCAACAUGAAGUACAUGGGUACAUGGAACAUGCUGCCAAUAGAAGGUUUGUUUACAACAGGUGAUUUCUCCAAUGCUCUCAAGGUGCUAAGAGGCAUCGGGUCAUAGAGUGAUACAAUGUGGAAACAGCCCCUUCGGCCCAACCUGCCCCACCCACACUCAUCCCACCUGCCUGCAUUUGGCCCAUAUCCCUCCAAAUCUCCUCUCCAUGUAUCUGUCUAACUUCAUGUGGCAGCUCGUUCCAUACACCCACCACCCUUUGCGUGAAAAGUGACCCCUCAGAUUCCUAUAAAAUCUUUCCCGCUCACUUCUUCUUGCAUAUGGCUUGCACAGCCUAAAGUUGUAGGACAACUUGUUCUAUUUGAUCUUACUUGAUUGUGCACGGCAGGUUGAUUGCAUUCGUCAAAACAGGGUGGACCACGUGAAGGUUGCAAUCUCCCACCCCUCCCUCUCUCACCUUAAAGCUCGAUUCCCCUACUCUGGGCAAGAGACUGCGUCUACCCAAUCUAUUCCUCUCAUGAUUUUGUACACCACAAUGAGAUCAUCCCUCAUCCUGCUGCGCUCCAUGGAAUAGAGUUCAAGCCCGCAAAUCUCUCCCUAUAGCUCAGACCCUCGAGUCCUGACACCAUCCUCGUUAAAAAUCCCAGCCUGCUCAACCUCUCCCUAUAGCUCAAGUCCUGGCGAUGUCCUUGUAAAUUUUUUCCGCAGUGUGACUUCUUCAAUGGUGCUGAGAGGCAACAGGUGACAUCUCAUUGUCUCGUCCACACCCAGAGCUGCUGGUGUGGUUUGUGGUGUGUCACCGUUUGUUACAUAUCGGCUGUCAUCUGGCCAGCACUGGGCUACAGGUUUGUUAUAAAACUCGUUUGCAGCACAGUGUAUGCAGUGCUUUCCCGAGUUGUCAGAUGGUUGACCAUCUGUGCCCAUGGCUGGAGUAUUCUCUCUCUCACCCUCCAAGGCAGCGUUAGACUGAUGUUCACGGGAGUGUUUAAAUGUUAUACAUACUGACAACAGAACAAUGCCAUUUUUACUUGCAGCAGCAAAGCAGGCCUGUAAACACAGUACUCAUAAUAUAUAAUAAACAAAGAUUCAAUGAAUUAAUAUCACAA